ACAUUGCAUGCUGACACUGAAUGAGCAGUGACUGGACGCUGCCUUCCAUGUGGGACACGAGCCUUCAAUGCCUGAUAAAGCCUGAAAGCCACAAUCUGCCCUGGAAACCCAGCUCCACCCUGCUUCCACUACAUCAGGAGGUGAAGGAGGAAAUUGAAAGUGUGAAACACCAGUGGGAGGAAAAGGUUCCUGUAACAAAUGUGGUUAUCAAUGGGAAAGAAGCUUUCUAGAGCUUAUAUACGGGGCCGAGUCAUGCACACUUCAUCAUACUCACCAGGGGACGACCCAGACCAUCAUUCUUCUCUGGUCUGCCACCUUCAUCCUCCACUUGCAGCCUCCUUUGCAGUGACCAUACAGGUGCAGAGCAUGAGCAGGAUGCACAGGGGUUUAUGUGGUCAGGCCUGCCUGGAGUUGGCACAUAGCAUUUCUGCUUCCAUUCUUAGGUCUGAAAUCCAGGUCACAGAGCCCUAACAUAACUACAAAGGAUCCUGAAAAGUGUUGUAUUCCAGUGUGCCUCGGA
Molecule: long non-coding RNA, 520 nt
Filed under: Homo sapiens (human)
Lineage: Eukaryota; Metazoa; Chordata; Mammalia; Primates; Hominidae
Description: non-protein coding MIR3681HG:21
Source: RNAcentral